GCCCCUUUAGCUUAAUGGAUAAAGCGCAGGCCUCCGGAGCCUGAGAUAGGAGUUCGACUCUCCUAAGGGGUA
RNAcentral lists this transfer RNA (72 nucleotides) under Candidatus Omnitrophota bacterium. RNAcentral's name for it is "tRNA-Arg". It matches the Rfam family "tRNA". Rfam says of the family: Transfer RNA (tRNA) molecules are approximately 80 nucleotides in length. Their secondary structure includes four short double-helical elements and three loops (D, anti-codon, and T loops). Lineage: Bacteria; Pseudomonadati; Candidatus Omnitrophota. The record is from RNAcentral.